This 431-nucleotide long non-coding RNA is filed under the name Mytilus galloprovincialis (Mediterranean mussel). Lineage: Eukaryota; Metazoa; Mollusca; Bivalvia; Mytilida; Mytilidae. The record is from RNAcentral.
UUUUUUGUUAACUAUUUUCGGACUUAAAAACUGUUGAUAUUUGGAGAAUUUGAUGUUAAUGGCAGAUAUUGGAUAUUGACCUUUAAUUGUUUAUAUUUAAUUCAUAUUGCAUCUUUUAAAGACUCGAUUCGAUUUUCAGCGAGAUAUAUUCUAAUACUAUGGUGAAUUUGAUCUGCAUCCUUUGUUUGGGUUUUGACAGUGGAAUCGUACGACACAUUUGUUUUUAUAAUUACCUUUCUUCGUAGCAUUAAGUAUGGAAAUAGGGAAUGUCUUAAAGAAACAACAACCGGACCAAGGAGCAUAAAACAGUCCAAGGCCACCAAUUGGUUUUCAACGCAGCGAUAAAAUCUCGCAGGGAGGCGGGCUUCAGUAGGCCCCUAAACAAUAAAUUAUACUAGUGACACAUCCCAUAUAAAUAUAUUGACAAGAAA